This 253-nucleotide ribosomal RNA is filed under the name uncultured bacterium. Its description in RNAcentral is "partial 16S ribosomal RNA". It matches the Rfam family "Bacterial small subunit ribosomal RNA", at positions 524 to 776 of the family's 1533-position model. The record is from RNAcentral.
UACGUAGGGUGCAAGCGUUAAUCGGAAUUACUGGGCGUAAAGCGUGCGCAGGCGGUUUUGUAAGGCAGAGGUGAAAUCCCCGGGCUCAACCUGGGAACUGCCUUUGUGACUGCAAGGCUGGAGUGCGGCAGAGGGGGAUGGAAUUCCGCGUGUAGCAGUGAAAUGCGUAGAUAUGCGGAGGAACACCGAUGGCGAAGGCAAUCCCCUGGGCCUGCACUGACGCUCAUGCACGAAAGCGUGGGGAGCAAACAGG